RNAcentral lists this long non-coding RNA (1529 nucleotides) under Dromaius novaehollandiae (emu). Its description in RNAcentral is "lncRNA (ENSDNVG00000000971.1)". The record is from RNAcentral. Lineage: Eukaryota; Metazoa; Chordata; Aves; Casuariiformes; Dromaiidae.
CCGAAGUACAGCUAAGAAGAGUGUUUGUGGAGGGGUUGUUUGUAAGUACCAAUAUUGCAACUUUUUGGCUUUGUCCUGAGUUAAAAUGCCAUGCUGUUGAAAUAGAGAUUAUUUUCGAGAAUGGAAAGCUCCAAGUAAACCUCACCUCCGUGAAGUGGUGAUGCUUCUUGAUGUUAUCAGUACAAACAAUGUGUUAGCACUAAAUAAAAGUAUAUUAUUGAUGUAUUGAACUCGUUGAACCAGUUUUUAAUCUAGUUCAACAUUAUUAAAUUUCAUUUCCAUAUUGUGGGAGUAGCCAUUUGGAUGCUUGAUCUUUCUCGUUCUUUUCUAGAGAUGAGAUAGAGACAACUCUAUGCAGUCACAGCUGGAUGCAGGAUGGAUGCUACUGCCUAUGCUUGGACAUCAAGCCAGCCAAAGAGCCAGAGAAGAGGCAGUUCUUGGGGAGAUUAUCCUGAAAGAGCUAAAGGCCCAGUACAGAAGAACAGCACGCAGCAUGUGUCCCAGCUAUACACCCUCAACUCGCGCUUGACUGAAGACAUUGACUGAGCCAGCAAUGUGCACCAUGGGCAGAACCAAGACGAUAGUGGAUCUGAGCAACCUGAAUUAGUACCUGGCCAACUGGUGAGAACUGGGGGCUGAUAGGUUCUAUUGGGAAAUGGUGAACCUCUUGUUCUUGGGGCAUUGAGGCUGAUGUAGUUUUGAGGAGGAGGAGCUGGAGCUAGAUUCUUAUGCCAAGCCUUGAACAUGACUAUUCUAAAGGCCCUGCUUUCAAGAGAAGGCUGGAKCAGAUGAGGCCCCUCCAGAAGCCCCUUCCAGCCUAGACUUUUCUAUAAUUCUGUGAUUUUCCUGUAGAAAUAGUGGCUUACUCUGGUUGUUCCAGAUAUGCAAAAUGAUGUAGUCUUACCAGGUGAUGACAGGGRAAUGGGUUGGACUGGACCCAGCUCAUAUAUGUCAUAAGAGUAAAGGAUACAGCCUUCAUGGUCUCAGACAAAGAAGAAUGCCAAGAUGUCGGACUCUGAAGAUCCUGCCACAGAUCAUCUUACCACAACAUGCAACUGAGCUGAGCUCUGUAGACACAAAGUUGUCUUUGCAUUGCUCUGCGCKGUCCACUCUUAAGCAUAUACGGCCUUGAGUUCAUUGCUGGCCACAGCGGACCCUGACUGGCCCCUGCAGGGCCUGGGCAGCAUACCAGCCAAUAUUCCAGCAAAAUGGCAAAGCAACGUGCCCCAUAUAAUAAUYCUCCCCCAAAGUGGAGUGCUAGGGAGACAACUCUGAUGCACGCUCUCUCUAUGCAACCUAAUUCACUCCUGUACAAGUGGCUCAAGGCACCCAGAAGGUUUUGAAGUAGGGAUACCAAUACAUAACAAAGUUCUUGACAUAUUUCUAUUAUUGUUUCCUGUUUUGAGUUUUUUGCUUUUGAAAGCAGCAAUUAAAAUCUGYAAACUUUUUAUUUGUUUUUUGUACUGACCUCUCUGUCUCCAGUUCUGGACUUUAAUGCUGGUGAAAAGAGAAAACAAUAGUUUUACUGA